UAUAUAAUGUAAGGUUUUUUGUGUUUUUCUUCUCUGUCAUCCCCUUCAUGAUUUCAUAAGCAUUAGUGAUAAUGUUUUGGGUUUUUUUCCCCCCUUCUUUUGACAACACAGCAUUCAAGUUCAGAAAUCUAUGAACCAAAAGCCUAAUUUCUACCUAAUUUGCUGUACAGGCUCACAUUCUACCUCUGGCAGUCCCAGGGGAAAUAAGGUGAUUGCUUUUGGUGCCUCUUUCCUAUGUCCUUAGGGAAAUUUUACUGUAAUAUUUUUAACUUGGUUUUCAUUUCGGGCAUAGGGAAUUAUUUGGGUCUGAGUUAUUCAUAUGCCUGUUCCAGUUUGUUGAUUUUUCAUCUAAAGUCUUGAAAUUAUUUUUCUUGGGUUUAGGGGACUUCGUGGCAUUUUAUUCAUUUCUUUUUCAUUAUUUUUGUUUGUUCUUUUAAACAUUAUUUCAGAAAGCUUUAGAAAACUUAUCCAAGAGGGAGAUUUCCUUUGCCUAGUGGGUUGUCUUUUUUUUAUAAGAUAAAGACUGCUUUUCUGUUUUUUAGUACCUUUAUAAACUUCAUAGCUUUCCUUUCAUAAUGGUGUUCGCCUGGAUUACAGUAAUAGGCUGACCCCCUUGUUUCAGUUCCCCUGAAGUUGUGUGCCAGUAAUGUACCUGACAUCAUGUAUUUUCCUCUCUUCUGAUGCUUAAAAUAAUAUUCAUCCUCCUGAGCUUUAUUCUCACCUGCUUAGCAUUAAGAACACUGGUCUGAGAACUAGGAGACCUGAGUUCUAAUCCUGGCUUUGCUGGUAACUAGCUUUAUGCCCUUUGACAAGUGUCUUCAUGUUUCUGUUUUAUAGUAUUUUCAUCUGUAAAAUGAAGGCAUUAGCCCAAGGUUCCAUCCGGUUCUGUGGUUCUAUAGUUGCAAUCUUGAUUCCAAAAGAAUUGAUUUCUCUCCCCCGCCACCUGGAAAAUUGGUUUCCCUGAGUUUAGCAUAGAUAUUUUCUUUCCUAAGUCAUAUUUACCUUAUUUUUGUUCACGAAAAUAUCUGGGUCUCAGUUAUUGUAGAAGCUAACCUUGUGAAGAAAUUAGUGCUUUUGUGAUUAGAAACAUAUUUGUCCAAGAACAAAGGGUCUUAGAAAUCACAAUGAGGGUUUAGAUGAUGGCAUUGUUCCUUGAGCUGAUAGUAGAGUAAUUUCUUAUUGGCAGUUAAAAAUCUGAAGUGAGCCAAAGCAAUCUUGGAUCUUUAAGAAAAGAAAACUGUGGUAGAAAAUUCUAAACCUUUGUUUCAUUCAUGCCUUCAAAAGAAUGUGUACUGAACAACAGCUAUACUCCAGAUUUUGUUCUAGGCAUUGGGAAGCAAAUGAAAUAGACUUAAAAAUCCUUGUCUUCUUGAAGCUUAUAUUUUAGUAGAAGGAGUCAGGCAAUAAAAAUAACUUAUGUUAGAGAGUUGUUAGUUGUAUGAAGAAAGUUUAGAACACGGUAAGGGAAAUGUUUUGAUUGUUUUUGGGUUAAGAAGAGUGUCUGAGUGAUCAGGGUCAGCCUUAUUGAGAUUACAUUUGUGCAAACACUUCUUCUUUCUUCCUCUCUUUUUCUUUCUCUUCCUUCCUUCCUUUACUUUUUAUUUAUUUAUACUUUAUAUAUGCUUGAAUAUGUAGCAUCUAAUGAACUGUCCUGUACCCCUCACCAAGCUUCUAUAUUUUAAGACAUUACUUUAAGCAAGGACAAGAAAUGUAAAAGGACAAUCACUCAUGGGUGUUGGCAAAGAAUUUCUUUCAAUGUAUACUCAUACCCCUUUAUAAAUAUAAAAAUAUUAAGCCCCUUACUUAUUUAAUUUUAGAAUUCAUAGAAAUUUACACAUUGGAUCUAAGAACAAAACAGAGCAAUGGAAAAAAGCACUUCCUUGUUUUCAAAUUGCACAAACUCCCCCUGGAGAUUCUGAUACAGUCUCUCACCUCCCUUAAGAAUCACUGCAAACAAAACAAAGUAGAGGAUUGCAAGAAGUCCCUUACAUACAAGACAAUGUUAAGCACAAUGGAAUUAUUUUCUCUUUAUCCAUAUAUUUCUGAAGUGGGUAAAGCAGCUAUUUCCCCUAUUUCUCAGAAGGCUGAGACCCGAAAACACUAGGUUUACUCAUAGUGGCAGAGCUAGAACUAAAACUCAAAUCUCCUAACCACAGCCCAGUCUUUCUGGUAGCUCAGGUUGCUUUCUCUAAUGAACAAGAAAGAAAUAAUUAGAUAUUUCUAUUUUGGCACAAAAGGAUAAGGUAUUUUUAAAAUAUAUCAAAUAGCGAAACCAGAAAAUCAGUCAGCCCUAGCAAAUUUUUAUUUAUUAAUUAUGAAAAAUCCCCAGUCAGACAAUUUAGUGUUGAUUCUAGCCAAGAUAUAUUUUUUUGUAUCUGUGUGUGUGUUAUUCUCCUAGGAAGUGGUGCUCUCGAAACCUCUCAAAGCACAUAGAAUUUACUGUACCCUUUAUAUUUUUACCAAGUUGAAAUGUUUUGAAAUUAUAAAAGCAAAAUGCAGGCUAGUCAUGGCUGAAAUUUUCCUAAUACAGGAUCUGGAUUUUAUUUUAUUUCCUUACUUGUGGUUACUGCCCUUCAUUUUCUUCUUGUAGUAGAAUUCCCUGAAGCAUAUUAAGUGAUAAUUGUACUGAAUUUCAUUGAGGAAAAGGGAAAAGCAUCCAGUCUGAUUUAAUCUGUCAAUUUGUGGAGCUUUCUUUAGCAUUCUUCUACAAAUUUAAUCUCUGACCUGUGAGACUUCAAAACUUCCUAUCUCUUAAAAGGGGUUUGAACUCUGUUGAAAAUCUUGUACUUAGUUAUCCCUUGUAAUCAGCCUGAUACAUAGAGAACAUUCUGGACUGAAAAUAUAUAGUAAGGUGCCAAGGUCAGCAAACUUGGCUACUGCCAGUGAUUCAGAACCACCUCCCUACCCUAAGUGAGUAAAAAGAUUUGAUAUGAAUAUGAAUGGUAUGAAUCUCCUGGUGAUAUUUUGGAUGUAUAUGUUCUGUGUGUGUUUGAAGAGUAUAAAGGGUAUUUACGGAGGGCUCUUUUGUUGACCUUAUUUAUUUGAAAAUCUUAUUUUAUUUGUAAUUGCAUGUGUAUAUUUUUGUGAUGCUAAAUGCAAUCUCUGUGUAUACUUUUUUGUAUAUAUGUACAUAUUUGUAAAUAUAUUGUUAUGUAAUGAUGCAGUAUGUGUAUAUUAUAUACCCAUACCCAUUGUGGGCUGAAUUUAUUUAAGUUCUGUAAGGACAUCAUAGUGGCAUUGUUCAUGCUGCUGUAAUUAGGUUGUGGCUGUAUCUCAUUCAUGAGCCUCUAUUUUGAGGGGCUUGUGUUUGGGUAAAAUUGGCUAUUUUGGAGUUGGAAUUAGGAUGAAAAUCUUAACAGAAAGCAAGAUGUUCUUAGCUUUAAAAUCGCCUGCCAAUUUCCAUUUAAAUGGAUGAUAAAUUAGUGAUAUAAACCUGAAAGACCUUAUUGUGUGAAACUGAGACACCAGCAGGUUCUUAAGCUAUAUUAGUCCUUUAUUUUCUUGACCCAUAGUUGGGGAUUAUUACUGAGUAGUAUUUAUAUUGAGAAUUAAGGGGCUGUGGAAAAAAUUACUUUGAUCACAUUUCAAAAUAGAUAGGAAAAUGUCCUUUAAAUAGAGAAAUUUGUUUGUAGUUGCAAUGUCAAUACCUGAUACUAAAUUUUAAUUUGAGAAAAGUGUUUUCACUGAUGUGUCUCAUUUUAUAUCUGUCUCUGUGAGGCAGAAAACGGGGCAUUAGCUAGGGGAAGGCUGUACCUAGGUGGGGUGGGAUUUAAUAAGGAACAGGAGAUUAUUAAUAGUAUAUUUGCAGCAGCAGCUGUGAUUAAUUUAGUCGUCUCAGCAUUUCAGACUAUAGGUUUUUUUUUUAUUGGAGUUGCAUAUCAAAGAUGAGUAGGCUCAUCUGAGAAAAUGGUUCCAGUGAAUAAAAUGCCUCCAGUUGUAUUUCUUUGUCUCUAUGAGACCACUUGUGUUCUGCAAAUUGAUAAUAUUCACACAUGAAAUAGCAAUUCUUAAUAUUUAGGUGCAUGGCAUGCUAUAAAAUCUGGGCCUCCAAACUUCUACCAUAGAUGAUGGGUGGGGGAGGAUAUCCUCUUAGAGGAUAGUAAAUAUGUGCAGUGCCAAUGUGUGAACAUGGAAUAUCACAGAGUAUCAAUGUUCAGUCUCUCCUAUCUUCACCUGGCAUGUGUAUUUGCAUGGACGAGUGUAGGAGAUCUUUAGUAUACACUUGAAUACAUUCACCUCAAAAAUUACAUAGAGGUCAUUUCUGCAUGAUGAAAUAUAAUUGCAAAACAACUGUUUACCCCAUUAUUUUUCAGAUGAUUACAUCUGAGUGAUACAAUAUUAAAUUAUCGUAAAUAGAGGUGUUUGAGUCAGAAGUCGCUUUUACCACCCAACAAAUGUCAUGUUUGCCGCUUCAUUUUAUUUUUAAUAAGGAGCCAACUAUUCAUAACACCUCUCAAUUACUAUUAAAUUUAAAAUAAAGUUAUAAUGGCCUUUUUUAAUAUUAAAAUUUGGUAAUGUACUAUUUCUGAAAAAUCAGUGAAAAUGUGACAUUCUUUUGUUAUUGUAACUAAAUCACUUACUGC
This 4583-nucleotide long non-coding RNA is filed under the name Canis lupus familiaris (dog). RNAcentral's name for it is "lncRNA (ENSCAFG00000055726.1)". Lineage: Eukaryota; Metazoa; Chordata; Mammalia; Carnivora; Canidae. The record is from RNAcentral.